GUUGACCUCGAAUCAGGUAGGACUACCCGCUGAACUUAAGCAUAUC
This 46-nucleotide ribosomal RNA is filed under the name Metarhizium anisopliae. RNAcentral describes it as "partial 28S ribosomal RNA". The record is from RNAcentral. RNAcentral also lists the same sequence under 4 other names. Lineage: Eukaryota; Fungi; Ascomycota; Sordariomycetes; Hypocreales; Clavicipitaceae.